UUUUUUGUUUGUUUGUUUUGUUUUGUUUUGUUUUGUUUGGCCACCCUGCAGCAUUAUCGAUUUCCUAGGCCAGAGAUCAGAUCCGAGCAACAGUUGGGACCUACACCACAGAUGUGGCAACGCCAGAUCCUUCACCUACUUACUGCACCAGGCUAGGGGUCAAACAUGUAUCCCAGCACUGCGGAGACACCACCGAUCCUGUUGUGCCACAGCAGGAACUCCAGAAAUAGUAUCUUUUUAAAGUGACAUAUGGUUUUUGAAAAAUGAAGAUCCUGCACUGUAGUAAACAUUAGUGGACAUAGGAAAGAGCCCAGAUGCAGCUAAGGUGGAAAUCCGGGGGAAGGCAGAUCUCUCCUAAGAGGAAAAUGAACAAGAGGGUUUUGGGUUGAUGGCUUGGUUUAAGAUUGUUACUUUCCUUUGGUUUUAACCAUUCACACAAGCAUACUUGAAGAAUACAUGUUUUAGAAGACAGUUAAGGAAUGAGAUUUUAAGGAAAUGUCUUCAGUUCCAGAAAGACAUAGGUGUUCUUAAUCACCUGUGGUUUCUUUUGCAUGAAUAAAAUUGCCAAGAGUUCAUCUUCCGAAGAAGAAAAAGUUCAAGUGUAAGACCUGAGAUGAAUUGUAAGGUUAUCAAAAAGGCUUAUACGUUGGGACCUGUAUGCUUGCUGAGGGAGUAGCCAUUGACCUUGAAAGCAACCAGUUGUAUUGACUUUGUUAUGUUGGCACCAGGAAAGCACAGAACAGACUCUCUUGAAUAACAGGAGCCUUGCUGGACAUUUCGGUAUCCUGGAAGGGAGUUGGGGCCAUUUCUUUAGCAGAAAUUGAAAUCGUUUUCUUAACAAACAAUCCCAUCGAAGAUUGGAAAACUCUAAUACAGAACUUAAGAACAAGUGUACACAUAAUACAUAAAUAUUAUCAUAGUUAUGUUACUAAAGAACUACUGUAACUGUGGUUGUUGAUUGUUUCCACUUGCUUAGGAACUGAAGUUACAUCUCUUCAGAUAGGAGCGGUGAUCUAUGUGAUAAAGUCCUUGUGUGGCAGAAAUGUGAGGUUAGGAAUGCUUAUACCAUUUGCUUUCUCCAAGUGUGCUUUACUCUUUUAUGCUACCCUUCACUUCUGGCUUAAACAUUGUCCAGGAAAUUCACCAACACUGAACAAAGAACCAGCUCCCUUACUUGAGUUUUAUCCUUCCUCCUCUAAAAUUGACAUUCCUUGAGGCAAUGUCCUGAAAUGACUUGUCCUACUCUGGCUAAAUGGUAGUGAUCUGUGUUUAACCCCAGCAGUUUAUCAAGCAGGUUCAUUUUAUAUCAUGUCAGUGUGUAGAGAGUGACGGGAAUACAAAAGGAUAAGGAAGUUAUUUUUUCAAUGUUUAUUUUUAUUUCAUGUGAAGCAUGAUUUUGUGUACUGACAAGUAAAUGAUAUAGGUGUAGGGGAAAGAGGAACAACCACCAUAUUAUUUUGCCAGAAUUCUCAUGUUAUAGUAUCCAAAAAAUGCCGAGAAAGAUGACAUUGCAUGUUAUAAUGUUCCCUCGCAAAUAAUGGCAAAGCUUUAAUCAACUGAUAAACCAGAUGCACUCAGGAUUGAAACGCAGCUUUCAAGGUUGAAAUGCAGCAAGUGGUUCAUUGAACACUGCACAGAAGGUAAAUGAAGUGUAUAUUUUCCAAUCACAAUUGGAAUUUUAAGUGAGUGGAAUGGAAUAAACUCAGUUUGGAAUUUGAAAUAAAUUCAGCUUGGAAUGUGUCUUAGAGACCAAGGUUUAUACAAGAGCUAUACAAACCUCUCAGCAUGAAACAUGACACAAGGUGAAAUUUUCCUGGCAUCUUAGAGGAGCCAGAUAUGGAUUUAUGCAGGACCAAGGCACAGACAAUUGGUCAAGAGCUAUUUGUUUCUAUUUGGGGACAGAAACCUAGAGGCUUAUUUAAUACCCUGGGGUGGGAGUAAUAUUCCACCUCGUAGAUAGAGCUGUGUACUCUUUCUCAGAAGGUGGUAUUUUUAGUUUGAUGUUAUACCAAUAAAAUGUUUCCAUCCUAUUUUCAUUUUUCUUUCUUUUGAUGUCAGCGUCAGUAGUUCAAAAUAGCUUCAUCUAUCACACACAGUAAAAUUGAUUAGCAAAAAGGAGAAGUGGUUGGAGAAAACACAAAAUUCAACUUCUGGUAAUUCAGGAGUAGCCACUAGCAGCAAUUUACCUGCCUCGUUGCCAAAGCAGUUUUCUCAAAUUAUGAAUUCUCAUGAGUGUAUAAGUUUGAGGGGAAUCAUAAAAGAGACUAGACUUUGUAUGCCAAGCCAAAGAAGCAGUUGGUAACUAACAGUACAUCUUUUUGCUAAGGUAAGUUUAAGUCGCAAGAAGACUUAAUCUACAGAGGAGAACACCCUGCAUAUUUCUUAGGAGCUUAGAAAUGCUGAGUUAGGGCUUCAGGGAAAUGCAAGGUGCUAGACUUCAAAAAAAAAAGAGAUCAUCUGUAGACUUAGCACACUGGAAAAAUGGAGAAAAUAAAACGGGUGCAGGGCUGUGGAUUAAAUAUUCGUAGUUAGAGUUUGAGCAUUUCAGAAGUGAAAUGACGAAGUAGGUGAGCCCCAGGAACACAGGAUAAUCAAGUUUGGUGGAUUGCUUGUUUUGAGUUUAUAGUUAUUUGUAGGGAUGGAGUCAGUCCCUUGGACUACAUAUUAUAUUUUUCCGCUAAGCAGUAUUUCCAUUAAACAGUAGCUUGUGAUUGUUUGGCCUGCCUUUGCAUUCAGGUAAAAAUCAAGCUAAUACCCUGUAAUUUAGCAAAUAUUUGUUUUCCUGGCAGUGGCGGACCUGCCAGUGUUACUGUUUCAGGGGCAGAUCUGCAGUGUUUACGGUUUCCACCACUUGGAGCUUUCUAUGUAUUCAUCCCUGGAUUAGACUCAAAGUAAGCUGAUUUCAUCAAGCCACUGGGUAAUUCUGACCAUUUCAUCAGGCGAUUUUAGAACUGUAUUAUUGCAGCUGACCUGUAGACAUAAGGAAUUACUGGGUCACCCACUCACGGAAAUGUCUUUUGAUUAUGAACACACUUGCAGCAUGUGUCCAUUGAAGGUAAGGGGGAAAAUACAACAUGGUCACCUUUAAUGCCGGUUUUAGUUAAAUAUAAAAGUGGGAUUUCAGGCAUAGCUCAAUUGUAUCUUCUGAAAAUUAAGUAGUUAAGCAAUUCUGUGUAGAAACAAGAUGUCUUUGAGGAACUGAACAUUCGGAUGAAGCAACCGUGUCCUUCAAACCACAUCCUUCCUGCUGCCUGUGGGAAAGAGGUGGUAUUUGUGUUGGGCUCUGAGCACACGCAGAAUAGAUCUGUGUGUAUUUCCAUAAAUAAAAGGACAUUGUGUGUGUGUUUGGCACCUGUGAUGGCAAGAGCAGUUGAUUGCUUCCGAAAGCUUUGUUCCAACUCCAGGAUCAGCAGGAUUUUUAAACACUGAACUAGGAACUGGACACUAAAAAUACAUACACAGGCGACCUCUGAUAGCAUUAGGUUUUGGAAGCAGGGUGAAGGCUUGCAAAUUGUGUUACAGCUGUGUCAUUACUCUAAUUAUUAUGGUUCAGGGGAAGGGAUUUGACAUGCUGUAUAUCCGACCUGCAGAUUCAUGAGCCAAGUUGUAGUAGCCGUUUGAGUUACUGCUUGUUGUUUCAAUGAAGAUGAUCCAGAAUCUAUAGAAUAAGAGUGUAUAUUUUGCUAAAACUGAAAACCUGGCCCCCGCUUUUUUUUGCUUAUGUUGUUUGUGUUGUGUUUCAUAAAGCCAUCAGCAGUUAAUGAUCUUGUGAUUUACUCAGACAGAAGAGCACCCACCAAAAAAAAAGGUUGAAAACAGAAUUGAAAGUUAUGUUACAACAUAAACUUGGCUUGUGAAAAAGAAACAGUAAUUUUCUAAUGCCACCCAGUUUUCUCGGGGUGAAAAUCAGGACCUUUCCAUGUUGCAAAUAGAUACCAAGUGAACAAAGAUCUUAGUGUGACAUUUUAAAUGCUCCUGAUAUUUUUAAAUGCUUACUCCCAAGCCUUAAAGGGUUUUGUCCGUAGAGAGAUGGGAAAUUUGAGUGGUUUUUUUUUUCUUUUUUAGAUUUUCUAUUAUGUGAUUCUCUAGAAGUUUUAUGAUAAAGUUCAUCAACAGGCAUGAUUUAAAGAAAAAACAGUUAUAAAAUUCAUGUUGGAAAUCGUGAAUAUUGUGUUAGAUCCUUACAUCAAAGUGGUCAUAGCCUUGAUAGAAAGAAAAUACAGACAACCACUAUCCCCUUAGGUUUAUUUGAAUGCACUUUUUUCUAUGUGAAUAAAAUUUUCUUCUUGAAAUAUCUGUAGCAGGGAGUGAUUUUUGUUGAGAGGCAGUGUGCAUUUUUAAACUUUAUUCCUAUUUUAUUUAUACUCCACUGAAAUAGAUUUAAGAAACAAAAUAUAUUUAAGCAAGGAUCUCCAUUACUUAUGAGAAUUAUGUAUUGUCAAAUUUUAAGUCAUCAUUUUAUUCAAGCAAUCCAAUUAAGGGAGUCUCUUUUGAAGAAGUGGGAAACGUGUCAAGCUCAAACUCUGUGCGGUGUAAAGGUGUCUAUUUCUCAGAAAACCCAGUGUGUUUCAGUUCUUAGAGCAGACACUAUAAAAGAGUCCGUGUCUAAUCCUGUGAGUGAAAUUCUCUUAAAAGAGAAUGCUGAAUACAGAAGAAGGAAUUAGUGAUAGCUAAGAAAAUGUCCUUCUCCAUUCACUUUACAGUAUGGCCACUGUUCCCCCCAGCUCAGAUAGCUCUACUUGGAGCACAAUCCCAGGGAUUUCAGGAUCAAGUGGGAAGAAACACAUCUCAGUGACAGGCAUGGCAUUAAACCUGCAGAAUGGCAUUUUAUUGAGUACUUAUUUGUGUUUUCAGGGCUUCUAAAACACAAUAAUGUGUAACCUAUGAGUGAUAUAAAUGCAUUUCAUUAACAGGCAGUACAGAGUUUCAAACGGAAGUAAG
Molecule: long non-coding RNA, 4941 nt
Filed under: Sus scrofa (pig)
Lineage: Eukaryota; Metazoa; Chordata; Mammalia; Artiodactyla; Suidae
Description: lncRNA (ENSSSCG00000056045.1)
Source: RNAcentral